This 460-nucleotide ribosomal RNA is filed under the name uncultured bacterium. Its description in RNAcentral is "partial 16S ribosomal RNA". It matches the Rfam family "Bacterial small subunit ribosomal RNA", at positions 338 to 795 of the family's 1533-position model. The record is from RNAcentral.
CCUACGGGAGGCAGCAGUGAGGAAUAUUGGUCAAUGGGCUUACGCCUGAACCAGCCAAGUCGCGUGAGGGAAGACUGCCCUAUGGGUUGUAAACCUCUUUUGUCAGGGAGCAAUUGGCGCUACGUGUAGCGUUAUCGAGAGUACCUGAAGAAAAAGCAUCGGCUAACUCCGUGCCAGCAGCCGCGGUAAUACGGAGGAUGCGAGCGUUAUCCGGAUUGAUUGGGUUUAAAGGGUGCGUAGGCGGAAUGCCAAGUCAGCGGUAAAAUCGCGGGGCUCAACCUCGCUCCGCCGUUGAAACUGGCGUUCUUGAGUGGGCGAGAAGUAUGCGGAAUGCGUGGUGUAGCGGUGAAAUGCAUAGAUAUCACGCAGAACUCCGAUUGCGAAGGCAGCAUACCGGCGCCCAACUGACGCUGAAGCACGAAAGCGUGGGUAUCGAACAGGAUUAGAUACCCUAGUAGUU